AUACCGGCGGCUCGAGUGGUGGCCACUUUUAUUGGGCUUAAAGCGUUCGUAGCUUGAAUAAUAAGUCUCUUGGGAAAUCUGCAGGCUUAACCUGCAGGCGUUUAAGAGAAACUGUUGUUCUAGGAACCGGGAGAGGUAAGAGGUACUACAGGGGUAGGAGUGAAAUCUUGUAAUCCCUGUGGGACCACCUGUGGCGAAGGCGUCUUACCAGAACGGGUUCGACGGUGAGGGACGAAAGCUGGGGGCACGAACCGGAUUAGAUACCCGGGUAGUCCCAGCCGUAAACGAUGUGCGUUAGGUGUGCCGGUGACCACGAGUCACUGGGGUGCCGAAGGGAAACCGUGAAACGUACCGCCUGGGAAGUACGGUCGCAAGGCUGAA
Molecule: ribosomal RNA, 381 nt
Filed under: uncultured bacterium
Lineage: Bacteria
Also listed under: 1 other name
Description: bacterial SSU rRNA
Rfam family: Archaeal small subunit ribosomal RNA
Source: RNAcentral